CAUGGCGAGGGGCAGCCAGGCAGGCGGUCUUGGCAUUUGCAGGCUUGCAAAACGCCAGAAACGCUGAGCGAAGGGGACCCGGCCUUAGCCUCUCGCAUCUUAAGAAGAAUUUUUUUGUGGUCGGAUAAGGCAUUGGGCCUGCAUGGAGAAAAAGAUGGGAGAAGCUGUUGCCAGGGUAGCCAGGAAAGUGAAUGAAACUGUUGAAAACAGAACAGACUCUCUUGAUUUGGCAGAUUGCAAACUGAUGACCUUCCCCAUUGCCCUUUACAAAGUCAUGAGGCAUGUCACUGAAGGGAUACAUCUCAUCACUCUGGCCAAUAAUGAACUGAAGUCUGUGACGAGUAAAUUCAUCACCACCUUUAACCA
Gekko japonicus is the source of this 366-nucleotide long non-coding RNA. RefSeq lists it as uncharacterized. The transcript has 3 exons. The record is from RefSeq and is a predicted model, not a curated record. Lineage: Eukaryota; Metazoa; Chordata; Lepidosauria; Squamata; Gekkonidae.